This 497-nucleotide ribosomal RNA is filed under the name uncultured bacterium. Its description in RNAcentral is "partial 16S ribosomal RNA". It matches the Rfam family "Bacterial small subunit ribosomal RNA", at positions 28 to 507 of the family's 1533-position model. The record is from RNAcentral.
GACGAACGCUGGCGGCGUGCCUAAUACAUGCAAGUAGAACGCUGAAGCUUGGUGCUUGCACCGAGCGGAUGAGUUGCGAACGGGUGAGUAACGCGUAGGUAACCUGCCUGGUAGCGGGGGAUAACUAUUGGAAACGAUAGCUAAUACCGCAUAACAGUAGAUAUCGCAUGAUAGCUUCUUGAAAGGUGCAAAUGCACCACUACCAGAUGGACCUGCGUUGUAUUAGCUAGUUGGUGAGGUAACGGCUCACCAAGGCAACGAUACAUAGCCGACCUGAGAGGGUGAUCGGCCACACUGGGACUGAGACACGGCCCAGACUCCUACGGGAGGCAGCAGUAGGGAAUCUUCGGCAAUGGACGGAAGUCUGACCGAGCAACGCCGCGUGAGUGAAGAAGGUUUUCGGAUCGUAAAGCUCGGUUGUAAGAGAAGAACGAGUGUGAGAGUGGAAAGUUCACACUGUGACGGUAUCUUACCAGAAAGGGACGGCUAACUACGUG